AACCUAGCACACCUGCGGUGUGUACCUGCGGAGGGAUCAUUACCGAGUUUACAACUCCCAAACCCCUGUGAACAUACCUAUACGUUGCCUCGGCGGAUCAGCCCGCGCCCUGUAAAAAGGGACGGCCCGCCCGAGGACCCUAAACUCUGUUUUUAGUGGAACUUCUGAGUAAAACAAACAAAUAAAUCAAAACUUUUAGCAAUGGAUCU
Molecule: unclassified non-coding RNA, 209 nt
Filed under: soil metagenome
Description: partial contains 5.8S ribosomal RNA, internal transcribed spacer 2, and large subunit ribosomal RNA
Source: RNAcentral